AAAGGUGUGAAAGCGUCCUGCACAGUUGUAACAAAACCAAAGGCCUUUGCAAAGACAGUGCCGGCGGUCAGCACCGUCCGAGGGUGGAGUUUUCAGUCCUCUGACGUCAGAAGUCACUGAGCCGAAGCUCAAGCACAUGUGUGCCCAGGUGGAGGAGGGUCGGUGGUCCUUGACAGUUUUAACCAGCUCAGCUGAAACUAGACACGGCUGACUCCCAAGUUCCUGGAAGACAACUCGGGCAAACGUCUUACUGUUUAGGCUUCGCGCCAGUUGAAGGACAUGCAAGUUUUGUAGAGCUCCUUGAUUACCGAAGGCGGGUGAAAUGGAUUUGACUAAGACUUACCCUCCAUUUCAGAGCUAUGAACAAAAGUAAGAUGUGAGCUUUGACCUUAGGAAGCCGUCUCAGUGUCUAACAAGGAGGCAGAGGCUACCUGAGUUCAUUGUCCCUGGAGAUGGACCAAACAGAAGGGCAAGCAGUGUGUUCUGGAGAGUGGAAGUCCAAGAUCAAGGUGCCAGCAGGAUUGGUGUCAGAUUUGACUGUAAGAAGAAUUGAAGAACCCUGUAAAAACUGUAAAAAUGCCUCUGCCAAACUGUAAAUAACAGUAUUCACUUAACAAAAGUGUCUUACUUUUUGUAAUGUCUCUAAAAUAGCAGUUCUCAAACUUCUUGGCCUUGGAAUCUCUUUUAAAUUCAUUAAUUAUUUAGUACACCAAAGGGCUUUUGUUUAUGAGGAUUAUAUCAAUAAGUAUUUACUAAAUUAAAAGUUAAACUUGA
Molecule: long non-coding RNA, 774 nt
Organism: Aethalodelphis obliquidens (Pacific white-sided dolphin)
Lineage: Eukaryota; Metazoa; Chordata; Mammalia; Artiodactyla; Delphinidae
Exons: 4
Source: RefSeq, a predicted model, not a curated record